AUCCAAGGUGAUUCCGAGGAGCCUACUAAUGCCCUUCUCAGGAAUGCAGCCGCUUGGAAGAAAACUUGGCACGUCUAAGGUCUUCGGGGAGUGAGGGAUACGUAUUUCCUUUGCCUCAUUUUGGCUGCCUACAUGC
Molecule: small nucleolar RNA, 136 nt
Organism: Nannospalax galili (Upper Galilee mountains blind mole rat)
Lineage: Eukaryota; Metazoa; Chordata; Mammalia; Rodentia; Spalacidae
Source: Ensembl